This 320-nucleotide ribosomal RNA is filed under the name uncultured fungus. RNAcentral's name for it is "SSU rRNA". It matches the Rfam family "Eukaryotic small subunit ribosomal RNA", at positions 21 to 338 of the family's 1831-position model. Lineage: Eukaryota; Fungi. The record is from RNAcentral.
UGUAGUCAUAUGCUUGUCUCAAAGAUUAAGCCAUGCAUGUCUAAGUAUAAACAAUUCUAUACUGUGAAACUGCGAAUGGCUCAUUAAAUCAGUUAUAGUUUAUUUGAUAAUACCUACUACUUGGAUAACCGUGGUAAUUCUAGAGCUAAUACAUGCAAAAAAACCCGACUUCUGGAAGGGUUGUAUUUAUUAGAUACAAAACCAAUGCGGGGCAACCCGGUUCUUUGGUGAUUCAUAAUAACUUCGCGAAUCGCAUGACCUUGUGUCGGCGAUGAUUCAUUCAAAUUUCUGCCCUAUCAACUGUCGAUGGUAAGGUAUUG